Molecule: ribosomal RNA, 253 nt
Filed under: uncultured bacterium
Lineage: Bacteria
Description: partial 16S ribosomal RNA
Rfam family: Bacterial small subunit ribosomal RNA
Source: RNAcentral
CACGUAGGGUGCGAGCGUUGUCCGGAAUUAUUGGGCGUAAAGAGCUCGUAGGCGGUCUGUCGCGUCGGCUGUGAAAACCCGAGGCUCAACCUCGGGCCUGCAGUCGAUACGGGCAGACUAGAGUGCUGUAGGGGAGACUGGAAUUCCUGGUGUAGCGGUGAAAUGCGCAGAUAUCAGGAGGAACACCGGUGGCGAAGGCGGGUCUCUGGGCAGUAACUGACGCUGAGGAGCGAAAGCGUGGGGAGCAAACAGG